Molecule: ribosomal RNA, 484 nt
Filed under: uncultured bacterium
Lineage: Bacteria
Description: partial 16S ribosomal RNA
Rfam family: Bacterial small subunit ribosomal RNA
Source: RNAcentral
AUUGAACGCUGGCGGCAUGCUUUACACAUGCAAGUCGAACGGCAGCGCGGGCUUCGGCCUGGCGGCGCGUGGCGAACGGGUGAGUAAUACAUCGGAACGUGCCCAGUCGUGGGGGAUAGCUCGGCGAAAGCCGGAUUAAUCCCGCAUACGACCUGAUGUUGAAAGCCGGGGUUCUUCGGACCUCGCGCUAUUUGAUCGGCCGAUGGCAGAUUAGCUAGUUGGUGGGGUAAAGGCCUACCAAGGCGACGAUCUGUAGCUGGUCUGAGAGGACGACCAGCCACACUGGGACUGAGACACGGCCCAGACUCCUACGGGAGGCAGCAGUGGGGAAUUUUGGACAAUGGGCGAAAGCCUGAUCCAGCAAUGCCGCGUGUGUGAUGAAGGCCUUCGGGUUGUAAAGCACUUUUGGCGGGAACGAAAAGGACUGUGCCAAUACCACGGUUCGAUGACGGUACCCGCAGAAUAAGCACCGGCUAACUACGUG